GACGAACGCUGGCGGCGUGCUUAACACAUGCAAGUGGUGCGACGAACCAGGCUUCGGCCUGGGGCAGAGCCGCGAACGGGUGAGUAACACGUGGGCAACCUGCCCUGUUGAUCGGGACAACCCGGGGAAACCCGGGCUAAUACCGAAUGUGGUGCCGGCUCAUGAGAGCCGUCACGAAAGGAAGCUUCGGCCUCCGCGACAGGAUGGGCCCGCGGCCUAUCAGCUUGUUGGUAAGGUAAUGGCUUACCAAGGCUAUGACGGGUAGCUGGUCUGAGAGGAUGAUCAGCCAGACCGGGACUGAGACACGGCCCGGACUCCUACGGGAGGCAGCAGUUGGGAAUAUUGCGCAAUGGGCGAAAGCCUGACGCAGCGACACCGCGUGCGGGAAGAAGGUCUUCGGACUGUAAACCGCUUUUUAAGGGGAACAAUUUUUGAGCGUACCCUUAGAAUAAGCACCGGCUAAACACGUGCCAGCAGCCGCGGUAA
Molecule: ribosomal RNA, 486 nt
Filed under: uncultured bacterium
Lineage: Bacteria
Description: partial 16S ribosomal RNA
Rfam family: Bacterial small subunit ribosomal RNA
Source: RNAcentral